Molecule: ribosomal RNA, 465 nt
Filed under: Vreelandella stevensii
Lineage: Bacteria; Pseudomonadati; Pseudomonadota; Gammaproteobacteria; Oceanospirillales; Halomonadaceae
Description: partial 16S ribosomal RNA
Rfam family: Bacterial small subunit ribosomal RNA
Source: RNAcentral
CCUACGGGGUGCAGCAGUGGGGAAUAUUGGACAAUGGGCGAAAGCCUGAUCCAGCCAUGCCGCGUGUGUGAAGAAGGCCUUCGGGUUGUAAAGCACUUUCAGUGGGGAAGAAAGCCUUGGGGCUAAUACCCUCGAGGAAGGACAUCACCCACAGAAGAAGCACCGGCUAACUCCGUGCCAGCAGCCGCGGUAAUACGGAGGGUGCGAGCGUUAAUCGGAAUUACUGGGCGUAAAGCGCGCGUAGGCGGUCUGAUAAGCCGGUUGUGAAAGCCCCGGGCUCAACCUGGGAACGGCAUCCGGGCGAGCAGGGCGAGGGGGGAGGGGAGGAAGGUAGAACCCCGGGGGGGGGGGGGAAAUCGGACGAGGACGGGAGGAAUCCCAGGGGGAGGGGGGGCCUUGUGGACUGACCGUGCCGCGGGGGUGCGAAGGGGGGGUAACAAACCAGGAUUGAAUACCCUAGUCUUC